This 979-nucleotide ribosomal RNA is filed under the name Vibrio sp. RNAcentral's name for it is "bacterial SSU rRNA". It matches the Rfam family "Bacterial small subunit ribosomal RNA", at positions 66 to 1030 of the family's 1533-position model. Lineage: Bacteria; Pseudomonadati; Pseudomonadota; Gammaproteobacteria; Vibrionales; Vibrionaceae. The record is from RNAcentral.
ACGAGUUAUCUGAACCUUCGGGGGACGAUAACGGCGUCGAGCGGCGGACGGGUGAGUAAUGCCUAGGAAAUUGCCCUGAUGUGGGGGAUAACCAUUGGAAACGAUGGCUAAUACCGCAUGAUGCCUACGGGCCAAAGAGGGGGACCUUCGGGCCUCUCGCGUCAGGAUAUGCCUAGGUGGGAUUAGCUAGUUGGUGAGGUAAGGGCUCACCAAGGCGACGAUCCCUAGCUGGUCUGAGAGGAUGAUCAGCCACACUGGAACUGAGACACGGUCCAGACUCCUACGGGAGGCAGCAGUGGGGAAUAUUGCACAAUGGGCGCAAGCCUGAUGCAGCCAUGCCGCGUGUGUGAAGAAGGCCUUCGGGUUGUAAAGCACUUUCAGUCGUGAGGAAGGUAGUGUAGUUAAUAGCUGCAUUAUUUGACGUUAGCGACAGAAGAAGCACCGGCUAACUCCGUGCCAGCAGCCGCGGUAAUACGGAGGGUGCGAGCGUUAAUCGGAAUUACUGGGCGUAAAGCGCAUGCAGGUGGUUUGUUAAGUCAGAUGUGAAAGCCCGGGGCUCAACCUCGGAAUUGCAUUUGAAACUGGCAGACUAGAGUACUGUAGAGGGGGGUAGAAUUUCAGGUGUAGCGGUGAAAUGCGUAGAGAUCUGAAGGAAUACCGGUGGCGAAGGCGGCCCCCUGGACAGAUACUGACACUCAGAUGCGAAAGCGUGGGGAGCAAACAGGAUUAGAUACCCUGGUAGUCCACGCCGUAAACGAUGUCUACUUGGAGGUUGUGGCCUUGAGCCGUGGCUUUCGGAGCUAACGCGUUAAGUAGACCGCCUGGGGAGUACGGUCGCAAGAUUAAAACUCAAAUGAAUUGACGGGGGCCCGCACAAGCGGUGGAGCAUGUGGUUUAAUUCGAUGCAACGCGAAGAACCUUACCUACUCUUGACAUCCAGAGAACUUUCCAGAGAUGGAUUGGUGCCUUCGGGAACUCU